UACGUAGGGUGCGAGCGUUAAUCGGAAUUACUGGGCGUAAAGCGUGCGCAGGCGGUUCGUUGUGUCGGCGGUGAAAGCCCCGGGCUCAACCUGGGAAUGGCCGUUGAAACUGGCGAACUGGAGUGUGGCAGAGGGGGGUGGAAUUCCGCGUGUAGCAGUGAAAUGCGUAGAGAUGCGGAGGAACACCAGUGGCGAAGGCGACUUUCUGGUCUGUAACUGACGCUGAGGCGCGAAAGCGUGGGGAGCAAACAGG
Molecule: ribosomal RNA, 253 nt
Filed under: uncultured bacterium
Lineage: Bacteria
Description: partial 16S ribosomal RNA
Rfam family: Bacterial small subunit ribosomal RNA
Source: RNAcentral